Molecule: transfer RNA, 55 nt
Filed under: Biomphalaria straminea
Lineage: Eukaryota; Metazoa; Mollusca; Gastropoda; Planorbidae
Description: tRNA-Leu
Source: RNAcentral
ACUUGGCAGAAAAAAUGCAAUUAACUUAGGAUUAAUCUAUAUCUUUUGAUUAGUU